GAAAACUCCCGCGCCAUUCUCCCACCUUUUAUUUUUACUCAUCUCUUACCUCAAUUUUACCUACACAUUUCACUGUCGCCGCCGGCAAGCUUCCGAUUAACAAUGGCGGAUCCUAAAUUUAUAUAUAUAUAAAGCUCUAAAAAAUUCUGAUCGGAAGAACUCACUGUACAAUUUUUUUUGGAUCCGCCAAUUGACGGCGAAAUCGAGAUGCAGGGCCGUCAACCCCAUCCCCACACCACCACUCCUAUAUCCGAAG
Molecule: unclassified non-coding RNA, 256 nt
Filed under: Hevea brasiliensis (rubber tree)
Lineage: Eukaryota; Viridiplantae; Streptophyta; Magnoliopsida; Malpighiales; Euphorbiaceae
Source: RNAcentral